This is a non-coding RNA of Pelobates cultripes (western spadefoot toad), 177 nucleotides long. Lineage: Eukaryota; Metazoa; Chordata; Amphibia; Anura; Pelobatidae. The record is from the annotation of a GenBank genome assembly.
ACCUUCUUGUUAAAAGAACUCUGUUAAAAUUACAGUUCUUGGAUUUCCAGGUCUUGUAAUGAUGCUAGCAGGGUAAAAACAGGAAGUAGAAUAAAUGCACUUACGGUCUUUUAGACAUGGGUGGACCUCUUUCUUAAUGUCCAGUACCCAUUGUCUGAAAGAUUUGGUGCCACAGAC